Molecule: ribosomal RNA, 267 nt
Filed under: uncultured bacterium
Lineage: Bacteria
Description: partial 16S ribosomal RNA
Rfam family: Bacterial small subunit ribosomal RNA
Source: RNAcentral
CGCAUGAGUGGCGGACGGGUGAGUAACGCGUGGGCAACCUGCCCUGUACAGGGGGACAACACUUAGAAAUAGGUGCUAAUACCGCAUAACCGGGGGAGCCGCAUGGCAACCCCCCCUGAAAACUCCGGUGGUACAGGAUGGGCCCGCGUCUGAUUAGCUGGUUGGCAGGGUAACGGCCUACCAAGGCGACGAUCAGUAGCCGGCCUGAGAGGGCGGACGGCCACACUGGGACUGAGACACGGCCCAGACUCCUACGGAAGGCAGCAG